UAACAUGUGCGCGAGUCAAAGGGUCGACCGAAACCCCAAGGCGAAAUGAAAGUGAAGCGCCGAUUGCGCGACUUGUCGCGUACUGAGGUGUGUAGGCAGGAUCCCGCCGCAAGGCGGGCGCACUGCCGGCCCGUCUCGAGAACAAUUGCGUGAGGCGGAGCAAGAGCGUACACGUUGGGACCCGAAAGAUGGUGAACUAUGACCGAGUAGGACGAAGCCAGAGGAAACUCUGGUGGAGGUCCGUAGCGAUUCUGACGUGCAAAUCGAUCGUCAAACUUGGCUAUAGGGGCGAAAGACUAAUCGAACCAUCUAGUAGCUGGUUCCUUCCGAAGUUUCCCUCAGGAUAGCUGGCACUACCGUAGCAGUAGCACUUCGGUAAAGCGAAUGAUUAGAGGCCUUGGGGGCCCAAAUGCACCUCAACCUAUUAUCAAACUUUAAAUGGGUGCGAAGUCCGACUCGCUCCAUUGGAGCCGGGCAUAGUAUGCAAAGUGCCAAGUGGGCCACUUUUGGUAAGCAGAACUGGCGCUGUGGGAUGAACCAAACGUGCGGUUAAGGCGCCAAAGACUGAUGCUAAUUGGAUACCAUAAAAGGUGUUGGUUGAUAUAGACAGCAGGACGGUGGCCAUGGAAGUCGGAAUCCGCUAAGGAGUGUGU
This 653-nucleotide ribosomal RNA is filed under the name Spinaxinus emicatus. RNAcentral's name for it is "eukaryotic LSU rRNA". It matches the Rfam family "Eukaryotic large subunit ribosomal RNA", at positions 676 to 1283 of the family's 3401-position model. The record is from RNAcentral. Lineage: Eukaryota; Metazoa; Mollusca; Bivalvia; Lucinida; Thyasiridae.